UGUGGCAGAUUACAUG
RNAcentral lists this transfer RNA (16 nucleotides) under Hyles stroehlei. RNAcentral describes it as "partial transfer RNA-Leu". Lineage: Eukaryota; Metazoa; Arthropoda; Insecta; Lepidoptera; Sphingidae. The record is from RNAcentral.